UAUCAUUUUUCUCUUCUCCUUCACCGAAAUAUGCAGCAAAGAAAGGGAUUUGAAGCUGGAAAAUUUCAGCAACAUAUUUCCCUUGCUUAUGAUGAAAAUCGAGAUUUGGACCUAGAACAGAAAGAAAUCGAUUAAGGGAUAAUUACGUCUUUUUUUUUCACCUUUGUGGUAUCGAGGUAAGUUCAUGUGUAAAUAAUGUAGCAUAAUUGUUAUUUUUAAGUUAUUGAUGUUAAAUAUAUGAUAUGCUGGUUUCUAUCAUGAAA
Gossypium arboreum is the source of this 263-nucleotide long non-coding RNA. RefSeq lists it as uncharacterized. The record is from RefSeq and is a predicted model, not a curated record. Lineage: Eukaryota; Viridiplantae; Streptophyta; Magnoliopsida; Malvales; Malvaceae. The transcript has 2 exons.